RNAcentral lists this ribosomal RNA (460 nucleotides) under Ivalia uenoi complex sp. AFD-239. Its description in RNAcentral is "partial large subunit ribosomal RNA". Lineage: Eukaryota; Metazoa; Arthropoda; Insecta; Coleoptera; Chrysomelidae. The record is from RNAcentral.
CUUGCCUGCCCACUGUAAUAGAUAAAUGGCCGCAGUAUUUUGACUGUGCUAAGGUAGCAUAAUCAUUAGUUUUUUAAUUGAAAGCUAGAAUGAAGGGUAGAAUGAAAAAGUAUCUUUUUUUAAAUAAUUUAAUUAAAAUUUUAUUUUUAAGUAAAAAAGCUUAAAUGUUUAUUAAAGACGAGAAGACCCUAUAGAGUUUUAUAUUAAAAUAAUUAUCAUAAUUUUGUAUUUUAUUUUUUCAAUUAAUUUUAGUAUUCAAUUGGGGUGAUUUAAAAAUUUAGUUAACUUUUUUUAAAUUUAAUUUAUAUUUAUAAAUAGAUAAUUGAUCCUAAAAGUUAGAUUAUAAGAAUAAAUUACCUUAGGGAUAACAGCGUAAUUUUAUUAAAGAGUUCAAAUCGAAAAUAAAGAUUGCGACCUCGAUGUUGGAUUAAAAUUUAUAUUUGGUGAAGAAAUUAAAUAU